GCCACCAUUUAAAGAGUGCGUAAUAGCUCACUGGUCGAGUGACUCUGCGCCGAAAAUGUAACGGGGCUAAACACACCACCGAAGCUAUGGCUUGAAUCGACUUCACUGCUUCUUUGAGGCGGUGUUAACCAGGUACAUUUUUGCCGAAAGCUACCGAUGAAUAUUGUUCAAAGGUUUCGGCCAAAUGCACCCCGGGGUUAAACACAGGACUUCGAAGCAGGAGUGAAGUCGAUUCAGGGGUAGGGGAGCGUUGUAUGUAGGUUGAAGGUGUACCGUAAGGAGCGCUGGACUGCAUACAAGUGAGAAUGCCGGUAUGAGUAACGAAAAGAUCAGUGAGAAUCUGAUCCGCCGAAAG
This 355-nucleotide ribosomal RNA is filed under the name Paenibacillus macerans. RNAcentral describes it as "bacterial LSU rRNA". It matches the Rfam family "Bacterial large subunit ribosomal RNA", at positions 1115 to 1343 of the family's 2925-position model. Lineage: Bacteria; Bacillati; Bacillota; Bacilli; Caryophanales; Paenibacillaceae. The record is from RNAcentral.